CCGCGCAUGCGCAUGGAGGCCCGGCGCGGGUGGCUGUCUCCGCCCAGUGCGUCCUUGCGCAGUACCGGGCGACUCUUCCGGGAAGUGGGGCCCGGGAGGUUAAAUAUUGACCACGCGUGAGCCAGAAUCCUGCCCACUUCCCUUGACCGUAGUGUCCCCAGUGGACACAGCGAACCUGGAGGCUAAGGAUCCUGAAGAAUCAGUACCACACGCGUAUAUUACAUGUUUUAUUUAAAAAGUGGGAGGAAAUGAACACUAUGAUGAGCCUCUAGGACGUUGUGCAAAAGGUGACGCAUAUCUGUAAAUCUCAGCAGCUGGGAUGCUGAGGCAGGAUGACGAGUUCGAGACCAGCCGUAGGCCGCGGACUUUCUACUCUGCUAGAGGCCAUUGUUGAUGAAGACAGAAAAAUGUCAAGUGGUGACUGCUGGCAGAAAGGAAUAGGAUCUUACUGAGUUGUGCAGCCUGGGCCUCGGACUUUCAGCUUUCCUGCUUCAGCUCCCUCCAAUAGCAAGGAUGAUUGGUCCCCACCAUUGGGCCUGGCUGUAUUCAUGGUUAAAUUUGCAGCAUCCAGUGAAGGCCCUGGCCUCCAGACAUCACUCAGGUCCUGUGUUCUCCAGGCCGCUCUCAAAUAUGCUCUGUGAAUGAGAAGGGCUUUGAACUUCUGAUGGUCCUGUCUCCGUGUCUUCAGAGCUAAGAUUACAGGCACAUACCUCCAUGCUUGGUUUCCAAAAGUAAAAAGGACUUUUUAUUUUAAACAUUUCUGUAGCAGGAAUCUUAAAGGUUCUUAUUAAUAAAAUCAAACCCGAGGCCAUUUAUUGGGGAUGACACAUGUGUGCCCUGCCAUGUCCAGCUUUUUAUUUGGUCGCUGGGUGUCUGAACUCAUGUCCGCAUCAUUGAAUGAUGAAUGCUUUAUACGAUGAGCCGUCUCCCCAGCUCCAUACUUUGGGUUUUGAAAACGACAACAUGAUGGAAAUGCCAGGGUUCCAGAUGAAUCUACUCCUGUUUAUUGUCUAUCAGACACUACAGCCAGAGGACAGAGCAAGGAGCUGGCACACCCUCCAAGCAGAGACUUCUAAAAGGAAUGUUCCAGACUUGUACAUUCUUUCUCCUAGUUCUAAUCUGUAGCAAGGGUGUGACUUGCCUUCAGCACCACUGACUGAUCACAACCAUGGUACUCAGGAGAGAUGCCUUAUGAUCAAGAUGACUAGGGAGUGGGGAUGGCAAAGGCUUCUCCCCUGUAGCAUGUACCACCUACCAGAAGGUCCAGGGCUCCCUACAGGUACUCAGUCCAGAAUCCCAGGCCAGGGAAGUGUGCUGCCUACAUUCAGGGUGGAUCUUCCCACAUCAGAUGAGCCUCCCUGGAAACACCGUGAUAGACAAGCCCAGUGCUGUGCCUCCCAGAUGAGUCUCAUCAGGUCAACAGUGGAGAUUAACUACCACAACAGGGACUAGCCGGGGAUUCCUGCUGGGGACACACCCCAUGGGGACUUCACCAGUGGACUGUGCACCGUUGGGAAUCAGCUGUGUGUGAAGUCACAAUUCUCCCUUUGCAGAUAUGGGAAAGAUGUGGUUAAGGGUGACCCCCAAGUGUCCCGUCUCUACAUGGCUAUUUUGCUGUCUGGCUUUGUGCCACCAGAGAUCGCCCUUGUAUUGUCCUUGUGUGUUCAUAUUGUGCUGAUUUGGAGGGCUCCCACCAGCCUCCAGUUGUGGGUGUGUUGGAUGACCUUGUGCUCUGGGCCUUUGUAGUAUCUACGAAGAGCUCUGUCUUCCCCUGUGCCAGGCCAUGAGCCAUGUGUGGUACUUAACAAAAAGAGUUCCAGGGUGUUGGCAAGGACUACCUCUCUUAAUUAUCAUUGUCUUGGUCUUGGGACACAUGGAGGACAAAAUAUCAGAAUUGACUAAGUUGGAGGCAUAGUUCAGCAGUACAUUGCUUUUCUAGAAUCCCCCAGUGAGGCGCUGAGGUGUGGCUCAGUGGUAGAGUUCCUGCUAGCAUGCAUGAGACCCUGAAUUCAUUCCCAGCAGUGUAUAGGUACACACACACACACACACACACACACACACACACACACACACACACUUCAAAACAAAAAUCCCACGCACCAAGUUUCAAGUUUCAAGUACCCCAAGAUUCAACUUUAUGCUGUUCUAUUAUGACUUCACAGGUCUCCACCCUCAAUUCCUCACUCCACCUAUAAUCUAUUUUCCAGCCUCACAAUUUUGCCAUUUAAAGGAUGUUAUACAAAUGGAAUAAUAUAGAGUGUAACCCUUUGA
Peromyscus maniculatus bairdii (prairie deer mouse) is the source of this 2271-nucleotide non-coding RNA. The record is from RefSeq and is a predicted model, not a curated record. NCBI's taxonomy places the organism in Eukaryota, Metazoa, Chordata, Mammalia, Rodentia, Cricetidae.